CUGACACCAGCGAAGAUGGAGAUCAAAAUCGACAGAGAAGGAGUGAUCGAGAUUUGGGGAGGAAGAGACAAGAAGUGAUUUCGGCUUUCUUGCCCCGACGAAAGAGAGAGAGAGAGAGACAUAAAUGGGAGUUCCAUUCAUCAAGUGACACGUAAGGGUCCUUACCGACUCCAAAAGACCCAAAUUAAACACCGGUUCUCUCAUUUUUAUCCUUUUUAUUUAUUUUUAUUGGGCUUUUGUUUUGAAACUGGGUUAAGAGUCCCCCGAUGGUGGUGGUCUAAGUAACGUUGACCGUUUCUUUGUGGCGCCAGGCCGGCCUUGAUCUAAAGAAGAUCAAGGUAGUGUUUUAGAGGCCAUUUUAUAUUAAAUAAUUAGGGAUAUCUAAUAUUUGAUGUUGGAUCAUAUAAAUAUUCAUAUUAUUAUUCUUAUUUCAUUAAUUAUUCAAACAUUCUGAUUUAUCAGAUUUUGAUCCGCACUUUCAAAGUGCGAGAUUUAUUUCCUUAUAAUAUUUUUUCGUAGAGAUGAAGUUAUGUUAAUUAUUGAUGUCCAAUAUAUACAAUAGUAUUGAUUUUUUUAUCUUCGCAAAAUAUUUCUACUCCAAAAUUAAUUUUUAGGAGUUUAUAUGUUCUAGUUGUAUUGAUUUUAUUAAAUUCUUAAAUAUAUAUAUCAAAAAAUUAUGUUUACAAAUACAAUACAAAGCAUAUUCCUCAUUACAUAAUUUAAUAUUCGAUGAAACUAAAAAACUAAAAAUGUGUAGCCUAAAUUCUGUUUACUUGUAAUUAAAAACAAAGAACUAAAUAUAGUGUAUUUUAAACAAAAAAAAACUAAUAUAGUGUAUUAUACGGGUUUUAUAAUACGUUUGCAACAAAACAUAUAGGAAAAUUAAUGAGCUUUGAUUUGGGCAUAACCUGAAAAAUACCUUCAGUCCAACCCAUUAGAUAAUAAACAAACCUGAAGUGCUUUAAAUAUGAAAGUGUACUGCUUCUAUGUGUAUAAAACUUUAACGUGCGUAAACUAUAUA
Molecule: long non-coding RNA, 1021 nt
Filed under: Brassica napus (rape)
Lineage: Eukaryota; Viridiplantae; Streptophyta; Magnoliopsida; Brassicales; Brassicaceae
Description: long non-coding RNA (BNAP_LNC018003)
Source: RNAcentral